This 497-nucleotide ribosomal RNA is filed under the name uncultured bacterium. RNAcentral describes it as "partial 16S ribosomal RNA". It matches the Rfam family "Bacterial small subunit ribosomal RNA", at positions 28 to 507 of the family's 1533-position model. The record is from RNAcentral.
GAUGAACGCUGGCGGCGUGCCUAAUACAUGCAAGUCGAGCGAACGGACGAGAAGCUUGCUUCUCUGAUGUUAGCGGCGGACGGGUGAGUAACACGUGGAUAACCUACCUAUAAGACUGGGAUAACUUCGGGAAACCGGAGCUAAUACCGGAUGAUAUUUUGAACCGCAUGGUUCAAAAGUGAAAGACGGUCUUGCUGUCACUUAUAGAUGGAUCCGCGCUGCAUUAGCUAGUUGGUAAGGUAACGACUUACCAAGGCAACGAUGCAUAGCCGACCUGAGAGGGUGGUCGCACACACUGGAACUGAGACACGGUCCAGACUCCUACGGGAGGCAGCAGUAGGGAAUCUUCCGCAAUGGGCGAAAGCCUGACGGAGCAACGCCGCGUGAGUGAUGAAGGUCUUCGGAUCGGAAAACUCUGUUAUUAGGGAAGAACAAAUGUGUAAGUAACUGUGCACAUCUUGACGGUACCUAAUCAGAAAGCCACGGCUAACUACGUG